RNAcentral lists this ribosomal RNA (1458 nucleotides) under Triticum aestivum (bread wheat). RNAcentral describes it as "partial small subunit ribosomal RNA". Lineage: Eukaryota; Viridiplantae; Streptophyta; Magnoliopsida; Poales; Poaceae. The record is from RNAcentral.
AUGGAGGGCGGGCGUCCGACCUCCGUGCUUCUCUUGCUGGUGCUGCUGGCGGCGCCGCUCGUGGUGGCGUCGGCUGGCCCCUCGUCGCCGGCGGCGUUCCUGGAGGACGACGUGGUCCUCGGCGCCGUGGCGAGGCUGGGCAAGGGCGCCAACGCCAGCGGGCGGGGCGGCCCCAUCUGCGACAACGUCGACGUCGCCAUCUCCGCCGUCGUCGGCGGGUCGUCGCGCGAGCGCGGUGCGUCCGGGUGGAAGGAGGAGAUCGCGGGGCUGGCGGGGCGGCCGGAGAUGGCGGCGUGGCUGCGGCGGGUGCGGCGCCGGAUCCACGAGCGGCCCGAGCUGGCGUACGAGGAGGUGGAGACGAGCCGGCUGGUCCGCGAGGAGCUGGACGGCAUGGGCGUCGGCUUCCGGUACCCGCUGGCGCGCACCGGCGUCGUCGCCACCAUCGGCACCGGCCGGCCGCCCGUCGUCGCGCUCCGGGCCGACAUGGACGCGCUGCCCAUCCAGGAGGCGGUGGAGUGGGAGCACAAGAGCAAGAACCCCGGGAAGAUGCACGCGUGCGGCCACGACGCGCACGUCGCCAUGCUGCUCGGCGCCGCCAGCAUCCUCAAGGCCCGCGAGCGCCACCUCAAGGGUACGGUGAAGCUGCUGUUCCAGCCGGCGGAGGAGUCCGGCGCGGGCGCGAAGCGGAUGAUCGAGGACGGCGCGCUGGAGGGCGUGGAGGCCAUCUUCGCCGUCCAUGUGUCGCACCAGCACCCGACGUCCGUGGUCGGCUCCCGGACGGGGCCGCUGCUCGCCGGCUGCGGCUUCUUCAAGGCCCAGAUACUCGCCCGCCGCGCCGGCGCCGACCCGGUCCUGGCCGCCUCGUCCACCAUCAUCAGCCUGCAGAGCCUCGUGUCUCGGGAGGCGGACCCGCUGGACUCGCAGGUGGUGUCCGUCGCCAUGGUCAACGGCAGCUUCAGCCACGGCGGCGACCAGGCGGCGCCGUUGGUGCUAGGCGGCACGUUCCGGGCCUUCUCGAACGCGAGCUUCUACACGCUGCGGCGGCGGAUCGAGGAGGUGAUGACGCUGCAGCCGCGGGUGCACGGCUGCGAGGCCUCCGUCGACUUCUUCGAGAACCAGAGCUUCUACCCGCCGACGGUGAACCACCCGCGCAUGUACGCCCACGUCAAGGCGACGGCGCGCGCGCUCCUGGGCGAGGGAGGCUACCGCGACGUGCCGCCGAUGAUGGGCGCCGAGGACUUCUCCUUCUACUCCCAGGCCGUCCCCGCCGGGUUCUACUACGUGGGCGUGCGCAACGAGACGCUCGGGUCCGUGCACACGGGCCACUCGCUCUACUUCAUGAUCGACGAGGACGUGCUCCCCACCGGCGCCGCAGUCCACGCCGCCGUCGCCGAGAGGUACCUCGCCGGCGGCGCCGAGCAGCACUCCGACCAGCGUUCGCCGGAACAGGAGCUGUGA